Molecule: ribosomal RNA, 253 nt
Filed under: uncultured bacterium
Lineage: Bacteria
Description: partial 16S ribosomal RNA
Rfam family: Bacterial small subunit ribosomal RNA
Source: RNAcentral
UACGGGGGGGGUAAGCGUUGUUCGGAAUUACUGGGCGUAAAGGGCUCGUAGGCGGCCAACUAAGUCCGACGUGAAAUCCCCAGGCUUAACCUGGGAACUGCGUCGGAUACUGGAUGGCUUGAAUUCGGGAGAGGGAUGCAGAAUUCCAGGUGUAGCGGUGAAAUGCGUAGAUAUCUGGAGGAAUACCGGUGGCGAAGGCGGCAUCCUGGACCGACAUUGACGCUGAUGAGCGAAAGCUAGGGGAGCAAACGGG